This 1352-nucleotide ribosomal RNA is filed under the name uncultured bacterium. RNAcentral's name for it is "bacterial SSU rRNA". It matches the Rfam family "Bacterial small subunit ribosomal RNA", at positions 28 to 1381 of the family's 1533-position model. The record is from RNAcentral.
GAUGAACGCUAGCGGCAGGCCUAAUACAUGCAAGUCGAACGAUACCUUCCAGCUUGCUGGAGGGGAAAGUGGCGCACGGGUGCGUAACGCGUAUGCAACCUACCUUAAUCAGGGGGAUAGCCCGAAGAAAUUCGGAUUAACACCGCAUAAAAACACAGGAUAGCAUUAUCCAAUGUUCAAAUAUUUAUAGGAUUAAGAUGGGCAUGCGUGUCAUUAGCUAGUUGGCGGGGUAACGGCCCACCAAGGCGACGAUGACUAGGGGAUCUGAGAGGAUGACCCCCCACACUGGUACUGAGACACGGACCAGACUCCUACGGGAGGCAGCAGUAAGGAAUAUUGGUCAAUGGAGGCAACUCUGAACCAGCCAUGCCGCGUGCAGGAAGACAGCCCUCUGGGUCGUAAACUGCUUUUAUUCGGGAAUAAACCUACUUACGUGUAAGUAGCUGAAUGUACCGAAGGAAUAAGGAUCGGCUAACUCCGUGCCAGCAGCCGCGGUAAUACGGAGGAUCCAAGCGUUAUCCGGAUUUAUUGGGUUUAAAGGGUGCGUAGGCGGCCUGUUAAGUCAGGGGUGAAAGACGGUAGCUCAACUAUCGCAGUGCCCUUGAUACUGAUGGGCUUGAAUGAACUAGAGGUAGGCGGAAUGUGACAAGUAGCGGUGAAAUGCAUAGAUAUGUCACAGAACACCGAUUGCGAAGGCAGCUUACUAUGGUUUUAUUGACGCUGAGGCACGAAAGCGUGGGGAUCAAACAGGAUUAGAUACCCUGGUAGUCCACGCCCUAAACGAUGAAUACUCGCUGUUAGCGAUAUACAGUUAGCGGCUAAGCGAAAGCGUUAAGUAUUCCACCUGGGGAGUACGCCCGCAAGGGUGAAACUCAAAGGAAUUGACGGGGGCCCGCACAAGCGGAGGAGCAUGUGGUUUAAUUCGAUGAUACGCGAGGAACCUUACCCGGGCUUGAAAGUUAGUGAAUUAUCCAGAGAUGGAUAAGUGAGCAAUCACACGAAACUAGGUGCUGCAUGGCUGUCGUCAGCUCGUGCCGUGAGGUGUUGGGUUAAGUCCCGCAACGAGCGCAACCCCUAUGUUUAGUUGCCAGCACGUUAAGGUGGGGACUCUAAACAGACUGCCUGUGCAAACAGAGAGGAAGGAGGGGACGACGUCAAGUCAUCAUGGCCCUUACGUCCGGGGCUACACACGUGCUACAAUGGAUGGUACAGAGGGCAGCAAGCUGGCAACAGCAAGCAAAUCUCAAAAAGCCAUUCACAGUUCGGAUAGAGGUCUGCAACUCGACCUCUUGAAGUUGGAUUCGCUAGUAAUCGCGUAUCAGCAAUGACGCGGUGAAUACGUUCCCGGGCCU